RNAcentral lists this long non-coding RNA (2933 nucleotides) under Sus scrofa (pig). RNAcentral describes it as "lncRNA (ENSSSCG00030039247.1)". The record is from RNAcentral. Lineage: Eukaryota; Metazoa; Chordata; Mammalia; Artiodactyla; Suidae.
UCCACGGCUUCACGGCAAAGGGAAAAUCAGGGCAUGUAUUUCCUUGCAGAUGUUCUUUGAGUUUCUUUGGGCUCAUGAUGGAAGGCAAAGAAGCAGAUGAUGACAGAAGGCGCUCUGUGUGGAGGGGAGGAUGCGGCCAAGAUAUGCUUCGGUUCCUGGGGUUCGGCACUGAUGCUUGACCAAGUUCUAAAGAAGUUCCUACAGGAACCGGGAAUCAGGCUCGCUCUGCCAGAAGAAGGAUGCCGACGCUGGAGGAGAGGUUAAAGUCACUUGUCUGAGUUCACACCGCGAGCAGGUGGAAACAUGGAGAUUUGAACCGAGUCUUUCUAACGCCGGAGCCCACAGAUUGCAAGGGGAACCACAAACACCCGGUGCCCACGGAAGACCUGGGCCCUCUGGGUUUGGCAGGGCCAAGGAGUUUGGUCACUCCAGCUUGUCCCGAGGAUUUCCUGGAACUUCAAAUAAUUCAGGAACGGUGUUUUUCCUUCCAAUCCCGUCUUGCCUGGGAAAACAAGGAACCGGAAGCCCAUCCCUAGGCGCUGUCUGUCUGCUCCACACUGGAGCGGCCAGGCCAGCAGGGCAGGGCAGGCCUUUCUGCCAGAUGCUCCAAGGCUGGGCCUCCCUCCCCUAAGCCUCUGGCUGCCCUCCCCACCCACCCAGACCGCGUCCCUCUGGCUCCCAGAGCUAAUCGGCUCGGCCAAACCCACCUCCAUGUGCAGCCCAGACAUUCUGACGCAUCAUUCAUUCAAAAAGAUCUUUUAGAGCCAUUAUAUAAACAAGCACAGUCCUAGGGUCUUGGGGGCUAAAACAGAGACGACCCUGCCCUCUGGGAGCUGGCGGGCAGGAAUGCGCAGUAAAUAACCAGCUAGUUAACCAAUGACUCGCUUAACUACCGUCGUAUACAUUCUGCACAUUGCAGAGUUGCUAAGACAGUGCAACUGUCCUGGGAUGGGGUCCUGACUGAAAAGGAGGGAUGAGAAAAAGCCUCCCCCAGGAAGAAGACAGGAUGGCUGGAGCACAGAAAGGGCUGGGCGGCAAGCGAGGCCCCAUCCCGAGGGCCCGUCACAGAUCAGGACUGUCUCUGGCACAAUGAGACCCCUUUGUAGGGUGAGGUGGUGAAUUACUGGUGAGUGUAAGUCAGGGGAGAAGCGAUGACAUAGAUGCCACCAAAUUCCAUGAGUCGCGUGGAAUUGGGGUCUCGGUCCCUCUAAAGCGGUAAUUUGUCCCAACUUAAAGGCUGUCCCUUAAAGUGCUUGUGGCAAAUGUCCUUGGCCAUGAUGCCCUAAGCCAGGCAAUCCUCUUGAGAGGAAGUGUUCGCCCACCUCUCCCCAGCAGUCUGGGUCCCAAAGGUCUUCCCGCAGGGCCGGACGUGGAGGUGGGCCCUUUACUGCCCACCAGAGAGGUGGGUGUGGGGGCAGGAGUGGGGGCCAGACAAGGCAAAGAGUAAAGUGGUGCCUGAAUCUCAAGGAGACUCUGAUGGCGAGAGUGUCCCUGGGUUCUGGGAAAGACCGAGGGACCCCUGAACAGCAUUGUCAGAGUCCACCCUGCUGUCCCCACCGGAGAUGGAGGCUUCGGGUCCUCAAGCCUCUCUCCAUGUGCACCAUAAGGCCAUGUCCCAGAGGGUUCCCGGAGGUCUCUUCUCACCCUGACAGUCUGGGACCUGAUCCUUGGAAGAUAUGAUACAUGCCACCCCCAGCUGCCUCCCCAGGACAGUGUUUCACGGGGGGACAACGCUGAGAGCUAGCUGGGGCUGGAGAGGAGAGGGGGCGCGACGUGGGAUGACAACCAGGACUUUGGGGUCAGUGACGGAUGGGAAGGCAAGACAGGAAGCAGCCCGUGGCCACAGGCUGACUCCACCCAGAGACAGUUCUGCCUCUGCCAGCGUGUCCCGAAGGGAGGACAAUUUCGACACACGCGCUGAGCACGCCUGUAUGUCCCACACCCCCUAGUUAGGGAAAGUUAAGUGUUCUUAAAAUUAUGUUCGGAAUAUAAUUUAUUUCACAUUUAUUUCAAUACGGGAGACUAUAUCUCCAACAUCUUAAGAAAAUGUGAUUAAAAAAAAAAAAUUCCUCUUACCAUAACUAAAGGUACUGUCAGUGAUCAAAACACACACCAGCUCACAGCGUUAGAGACCCCGCUGUGCUGCCUGUUGUGGCAAAGCCCUCUUCCCAGCAUCGCGUACACGGCCACCUGCCUGCAGACUUCCCACCCAGCUCGUCCCCUCCGAGGAGAGGUGACUUCCCGGAGGGGCUCUUUGCACAAGUGCAUUGUUGGCCCCGUGGUAGCGCUGCUAUCAUGCGUUGAAAAGAAUGUGAGACUCCAAGAGAUAAGGUCUGACAUGAAAAGAAAGUAGGAAUUUCUAAACCAAAUAAUCGAAAGUUGCCAAUUCUGUUUCCCAGCUCUCCUGACUGAUAACUUAUUAUCCAAAGGCCGAGUGUACUUGUGUGGUAUUGCUCUGGGCAGUGGCCACAUCCAAGAAAAACCCAGCCCCAGACAUCUGCGGCUCUGCGGCUUAACAUCCCAAAGCUGCAUAGAACCUCUGCCUCAUGAGGAGGCCCUGUUCCCAGGGGAGUCGGAGGCAACAAUUCCUUGCACUUGAGCUUGGGAGAGUGACUGGCGCCCUGGCUGGGACAUUAAGAAAUUGUUCUAGAACCAGACAGCUCUGCUCCUUAAUAGCUGUGUGCUUUGGCGAAGUCUCCUACCCCUCUGGAACCGCUAUAUCUUAUCUCUAAAAUGACAGCAACAACUCAACAGCCUUUGACUGAGGACAGGCUGUAUGCUGGGCUGGACGGUAUGUGUUAGGAUGUAGUUAUUACGCCAGUGAGCGCAAAGCAGUGGACACACAACACGAAGGACCGAAGGGUGAGAUAACUCCAGGUCCGAGAGCAUCACUGUUUCCCCCGGAGCACGGAAGAAAAGAUUUUGUCGCCGUG